CAACAGCUUCAGGGCCUGCCCUGGCCCCGGUGGGUAACGCCCGCCUGCCCGCCAGCCAUUGUCCGGUCAUACCAGGAAGGUUGCUUAGACCAGGAAGUUACUUCUCUGCUUCCAUUACUGUGUAAUGUAGCCAACACCAGCGGCUCUGCUGAUGGGCAACCAGGAGGACGUCUGGAGGCAGCGGAUCCACCGAUGACUAUGGAGAGGUAAUUUCUUUGUGAAAUGGGAGGAAUAGCAGGAGAACACUAGUGUGCUUUCUCUUUCUCUCCUGCACUUUGAAUUUGCUGUCGUACCCCCGACGGCACCGAGGUGCCCGUCUGCCUCACGCUUGUGCCACUGUGGCAACUAAUGGGGGAUUUGUUGACGAUUAAAAAGCUAAUGUCAAGGGAAAUAAAAAAACUAAUACUCAGAUUCUGGCA
RNAcentral lists this long non-coding RNA (419 nucleotides) under Vulpes vulpes (red fox). Its description in RNAcentral is "lncRNA (ENSVVUG00000030258.1)". The record is from RNAcentral. Lineage: Eukaryota; Metazoa; Chordata; Mammalia; Carnivora; Canidae.